Hyla sarda is the source of this 586-nucleotide long non-coding RNA. RefSeq lists it as uncharacterized. The record is from RefSeq and is a predicted model, not a curated record. The transcript is spliced from 3 exons. Lineage: Eukaryota; Metazoa; Chordata; Amphibia; Anura; Hylidae.
CUCCUCAGCUGCUGCGAGAAAGGAAAAAGCGAAACACGAGAGUCCUCAAAUUCUAAACUUUCCGAUUCUGCAAGAGACAACAUUACCCAGUGUUGACAAAGAAGUGACAAAGGAUAAGAAGUGACAAAGGGAGAAAUUUUCUGUGCAAGUUGCUGCAAAGCACAGUCUACUGGCAGUUCCUUUGGAUUCAGGCUCCUAUGAUAUGGGGGCGCAUAGCCUAUGAACUGCAGCUGCCUGUAAAUACAAUGUUCACCUCAGCCACCAUUCGUUAUCUCCUAAUGCUGCACAAAGGACCAUAAAGGAACCAUAGAAGGACUUUAUUAAUAUUAUUUAUUUACUUUAUUUAGCUUGGUUUAAGCUUUGUCCUCUGGCAUCCUGUUAGCAGAUUUGUGCUAAAAAAAAAAAAAAUAUCCUACAUUUAUUUUGGACAAAUAAUGAAUACAGCUCCUUUGCAAAAAAAAAAGUGGUGGACAUCAAACAGUAGACAACUUUGAAAGAUGUUCUAAAAAAAAUGUGCAGGAAAUGUAAUUGUGCAAAAUUUGCAGGGACAUUUAGAACAUUAAACUUGUGUAAAGCCAAUGAUAUA